GCUGGAGUAGCACAGUGGCAGUGCAGCUGAUUCGUAAUCAGCAGGUCGUGAGUUCAAAUCUCAUCUCCAGCUCCA
Molecule: transfer RNA, 75 nt
Filed under: Clostridia bacterium
Lineage: Bacteria; Bacillati; Bacillota; Clostridia
Description: tRNA-Thr
Rfam family: tRNA
About the family: Transfer RNA (tRNA) molecules are approximately 80 nucleotides in length.
Source: RNAcentral